Molecule: ribosomal RNA, 497 nt
Filed under: uncultured bacterium
Lineage: Bacteria
Description: partial 16S ribosomal RNA
Rfam family: Bacterial small subunit ribosomal RNA
Source: RNAcentral
GAUGAACGCUGGCGGCGUGCCUAAUACAUGCAAGUCGAGCGAACGAAUGAGAACUUGCCUCCUGUGAUUUUAGCCGGGCGCGUGAGUGUAACGUGGGUAUAACCCAUGUAUAAUUCUGGGAUAUCUUGGGGAAACCGGAUCUAAUAGCGUAAUAUUUUUUGCACCACAUGUUUCAAAAGUAAAACACGUUCUGCUUUUCACUUAUAGUUGACCCCGGGCGGCAUUAGCUAGUUGGUAAGGUAACGGCUUACCAAGGCAACGAUGCGUAGCCGACCUGAGAGGGUGAUCGGCCACACUGGGACUGAGACACGGUCCAGACUCCUACGGGAGGCAGCAGUAGGGAAUCUUCCGCAAUGGGCGAAAGUCUGACGGAGCAACGCCGCGUGAACGAUGAAGGUCUUCGGAUCGUAAAGUUCUGUUGUUAGGGAAGAACAAGUGCCAAAGUAACUGCUGAUACCUUGACGGUACCUAACCAGAAAGCCACGGCUAACUACGUG